Molecule: long non-coding RNA, 298 nt
Filed under: Brachypodium distachyon (stiff brome)
Lineage: Eukaryota; Viridiplantae; Streptophyta; Magnoliopsida; Poales; Poaceae
Description: long non-coding RNA (BDIS_LNC003881)
Source: RNAcentral
AGGCGUGUGGGUGGGGGAGGUACGGAUGGUGUGCGUGCAGGGCAGAUCCGUGAGACUUGAUUAUGGCAGUUAUUAUUGUCAGUACUGCUAAUUGCGUUUGGAAUUAGUCGUCAAAAUAUUACAUGUGUCUAGACGUUUUUAUACAUAGAUACAUCCGUAUUUGGAUAAAUUUGAGAUAAGGAAUACCGAUCAGAAGGAGUAAUAUAAUUUUUUUGGCUGCCGAGAGGAGAUUUAGUGCGACAAGUAAUUGCGCAGAUGUGUUUUUUUUUUCAUCCUUGUACUACGUUGUCAACAAGGG